Molecule: non-coding RNA, 361 nt
Organism: Maylandia zebra (zebra mbuna)
Lineage: Eukaryota; Metazoa; Chordata; Actinopteri; Cichliformes; Cichlidae
Source: RefSeq, a predicted model, not a curated record
UCUGUUCACCCUCACUUGCUGCGUGUUUAGGAUUUCCAGUCCUCCUGCAUCUCUGUUUAGAGUUUUGUUUGCUUUUGUGUGCAACAAUAAGCACAACUACUAGAGGAGAAAAUAAAACAUUUAACUGUGAAAAUGGAACAAAGUGGGGGCGUUAUGUAACUGUGUACAAAAACACAUCUGGGUUUUUAAUUCUGUGUGAGGUGACGAUGAAAGGCAGAAAAAAAGAGCCCUUUAAACUGAUUAAAGAGAACAAGACAUGGGCAGACGCCCUGUACCACUGCAGAGAGGAACACAUGGAUCUGGUUUCCAUCCUUGAUAACGAGACCCAGGUCUGGGUUGAGUUGGAGGCUCAGAAGGCUGA